Molecule: long non-coding RNA, 367 nt
Filed under: Equus caballus (horse)
Lineage: Eukaryota; Metazoa; Chordata; Mammalia; Perissodactyla; Equidae
Description: lncRNA (ENSECAG00000047503.1)
Source: RNAcentral
AACAUACUCAUGGAUGAAGACAGACUGACACACAGACAAUUGAACAGAGGCACCAAACUCAAGCCAGAUGGAGAGAGGAAAACCAACAGAGUGACAAGGCAGCCACUGACCACAGUGCUUUGGAUGAUGGGGCUCAGAGGUGGACCACCAUUUUGAGACAGAGGAGACCUUGGAGGAGGAGGAGUAAUAUAAGGUGGCACCUGGGCAAUAAUACAUCCAGAGGAAGAAGUCAUUGGUGAUGGAUCAGAAGUCAUGGGUGGAGGCGGCACUUAACUGCAAACCAGCCUGAUGAGAUGCGAAUAAGAAGAACAUGGGGCAGCAGGACACAUGGAAGCCAACAUUAUUGCAAGGAUCAGCAAAACCACAU